Molecule: ribosomal RNA, 253 nt
Filed under: uncultured bacterium
Lineage: Bacteria
Description: partial 16S ribosomal RNA
Rfam family: Bacterial small subunit ribosomal RNA
Source: RNAcentral
UACGGGGGGGGUAAGCGUUGUUCGGAAUUACUGGGCGUAAAGGGUCUGUAGGUGGCUUGCUAAGUCAGACGUGAAAUCCCUCAGCUUAACUGGGGAACUGCGUCUGAGACUGGCGAGCUUGAGUGCAGGAGAGGAACGCGGAAUUCCAGGUGUAGCGGUGAAAUGCGUAGAUAUCUGGAGGAAUACCGGUGGCGAAGGCGGCAUCCUGGACCGGCAUUGACGCUGAUGAGCGAAAGCCAGGGGAGCAAACGGG